AACGAACGCUGGCGGCAGGCCUAACACAUGCAAGUCGAGCGCCCUUUCGGGGGAGCGGCGGCCGGGUGAGUAACGCGUGGGCAUAUGCCCUUCUCUACGGAAUAGCCUCGGGAAACUGAGAGUAAUACCGUAUACGCCCUGUGGGGGAAAGAUUUAUCGGGGAAGGAUUAGCCCGCGUUGGAUUAGGUAGUUGGUGGGGUAAUGGCCUACCAAGCCGACGAUCCAUAGCUGGUUUGAGAGGAUGAUCAGCCACACUGGGACUGAGACACGGCCCAGACUCCUACGGGAGGCAGCAGUGGGGAAUCUUAGACAAUGGGGGCAACCCUGAUCUAGCCAUGCCGCGUGAGUGAUGAAGGCCUUAGGGUUGUAAAGCUCUUUCAGCUGGGAAGAUAAUGACGGUACCAGCAGAAGAAGCCCCGGCUAACUCCGUG
This 431-nucleotide ribosomal RNA is filed under the name uncultured bacterium. RNAcentral's name for it is "partial 16S ribosomal RNA". It matches the Rfam family "Bacterial small subunit ribosomal RNA", at positions 29 to 507 of the family's 1533-position model. The record is from RNAcentral.